RNAcentral lists this ribosomal RNA (472 nucleotides) under uncultured bacterium. RNAcentral's name for it is "bacterial SSU rRNA". It matches the Rfam family "Bacterial small subunit ribosomal RNA", at positions 28 to 531 of the family's 1533-position model. The record is from RNAcentral.
GAUGAACGCUAGCGGCAGGCUUAAUACAUGCAAGUCAAGGGGGUAGCAAUACAACCGGCGCACGGGUGAGUAACGCGUAUGCAACAUGCCUUCCAGCGGGGGAUAUACCAGGGAAACUUGGCGCAAUACCCCAUAGAAUUACGGGACCGCAUGGUCUUGUGAUUAAAACUCCGGUGCUGGGAGAUUGGCAUGCGUGACAUUAGCUAGUUGGCGGGGUAACGGCCCACCAAGGCGACGAUGUCUAGCUGGUCUGAGAGGAUGAUCAGCCACACUGGGACUGAGACACGGCCCAGACUCCUACGGGAGGCAGCAGUGGGGAAUCUUGGACAAUGGGCGCAAGCCUGAUCCAGCCAUGCCGCGUGAGUGAAGAAGGCCUUAGGGUUGUAAAACUCUUUCGCCGGUGAAGAUAAUGACGGUAACCGGAGAAGAAGCCCCGGCUAACUUCGUGCCAGCAGCCGCGGUAAAGUAGUCG